GACGAACGCUGGCGGCGUGCUUAACACAUGCAAGUCGAACGGUAAGGCCCUUCGGGGUACACGAGUGGCGAACGGGUGAGUAACACGUGGGUGAUCUGCCCUGCACUUCGGGAUAAGCCUGGGAAACUGGGUCUAAUACCGGAUAGGACUCCGGACUGCAUGGUCUGGGGUGGAAAGCUUUUGCGGUGUGGGAUGGGCCCGCGGCCUAUCAGCUUGAUGGUGGGGUGAUGGCCUACCAAGGCGACGACGGGUAGCCGGCCUGAGAGGGGGACCGGCCCCAAGGGUACUGAGAUGCGGCCCAGCGUCGUACUGGAGGAAGCAGUGGGGAAUACUGCACAAUGCGCCCAAGGCUGAGUCAGCGACGCCGCGUGAGUGAUGCAGGCCUCAGGGUUGUAAACCUCUUUCAGCAUCGACGCAGCCAAACUAACGGUAGGUGCAGAAGAAGGACCGGGCAACUACGUGCCAGCAGCCGCCGUAA
RNAcentral lists this ribosomal RNA (478 nucleotides) under uncultured bacterium. Its description in RNAcentral is "partial 16S ribosomal RNA". It matches the Rfam family "Bacterial small subunit ribosomal RNA", at positions 28 to 523 of the family's 1533-position model. The record is from RNAcentral.